UAUGGCCACAUCAUGUUGAAACAUUGGUUCCUGUAUGAUCACCAAAAUUAUGCAACAGUGAGCUUGGUCAGUACUUAAAUGGUUGACCACUUGGGAAUACCAGGUGCUGUUA
Molecule: non-coding RNA, 112 nt
Organism: Acanthosepion pharaonis
Lineage: Eukaryota; Metazoa; Mollusca; Cephalopoda; Sepiida; Sepiidae
Source: the annotation of a GenBank genome assembly